UGCGUAGGUGGUGAGGUAAGUCGGAUGUGAAAUCUCCGAGCUCAACUCGGAAACUGCAUUGGAAACUACCUUGCUCGAGGGUUGGAGGGGGGACUGGAAUGCUUGGUGUAGCAGUGAAAUGCGUAGAUAUCAAGCGGAACACCAGUGGCGAAGGCGAGUCCCUGGACAACUCCUGACACUGAGGCACGAAAGCUAGGGGAGCAAACA
This 207-nucleotide ribosomal RNA is filed under the name uncultured bacterium. Its description in RNAcentral is "partial 16S ribosomal RNA". It matches the Rfam family "Bacterial small subunit ribosomal RNA", at positions 568 to 774 of the family's 1533-position model. The record is from RNAcentral.